RNAcentral lists this small RNA (477 nucleotides) under Pongo abelii (Sumatran orangutan). Its description in RNAcentral is "processed transcript". Lineage: Eukaryota; Metazoa; Chordata; Mammalia; Primates; Hominidae. The record is from RNAcentral.
CAAACAGAUGAGGAUCCUGCACGUCAAUGGGUUUAAUCCCGAGGAAAAGAAACAGAAAAUUCUGGACAUCCGGAAAAAUGUUAAAGAUGCUAUCGUGACAAUUGUUUCAGCAAUGAGUACUAUAAUACCUCCAGUUCCACUGGCCAACCCUGAAAACCAAUUUCGAUCAGACUACAUCAAGAGCAUAGCCCCUAUCACUGACUUUGAAUAUUCCCAGGAAUUCUUUGACCAUGUGAAAAAACUUUGGGACGAUGAAGGCGUGAAGGCAUGCUUUGAGAGAUCCAACGAAUACCAGCUGAUUGACUGUGCACAAUAAAACCCUUGCCCUGAGACAUCCAGAAGAAAAUUUUUAGUGGGAUUACCACAAAUGUUUUUGUGUGUAAAACCUGUUUUUAAAAUAUCUCAGAAAAUCUACUUUCUUGGGUGGAGAACUGCAGUGGCUUCCCAUUCCUUAUCUAACGUAACCCUCAGACUUCC